UGAGCAAUCUGCCCUUCACAUCGGAAUAACCAUUGGAAACGAUGGCUAAUACCGAAUAUGACUUCGGAUCGCUUGAUCUGAAGUGGAAAGCUCCGGCGGUGAAGGAUGAGCUCGCGGCCUAUCAGCUUGUUGGUGAGGUAAUAGCUCACCAAGGCGAUGACGGGUAGCCGGCCUGAGAGGGUGACCGGCCACACUGGGACUGAGACACGGCCCAGACUCCG
This 221-nucleotide ribosomal RNA is filed under the name uncultured bacterium. Its description in RNAcentral is "partial 16S ribosomal RNA". It matches the Rfam family "Bacterial small subunit ribosomal RNA", at positions 118 to 340 of the family's 1533-position model. The record is from RNAcentral.